Paramisgurnus dabryanus is the source of this 721-nucleotide long non-coding RNA. RefSeq lists it as uncharacterized. NCBI's taxonomy places the organism in Eukaryota, Metazoa, Chordata, Actinopteri, Cypriniformes, Cobitidae. The record is from RefSeq and is a predicted model, not a curated record.
GCGCGCAUGCAUCUACGGGGUUUCCUUUCUCAUUAUCAGCCUCGCCACGUUUUCUGGCUGCCAUUUUGGACUUGGAGCAGGGAGAAACAGUUUCAGGAUUAUGAAAAUACUUGCCUGAUGGCUUUACUACUGUGAGUUGUCAUUUCUUUAACUGAUGCCCGACUUCAGCUUUUUGAAGUGCCACAGUCUGUCGAGUCCCUUAUUAGUAUUCUGAAGGAGAAACUGCAGUUACAAGGACAGUUCAUCUUGCAAUUUCAGGACCCCGAUUUUGGGAAUGCCCUUUGCAGCCUGACUGACAUCUCGGAACUGCCCAGUGAAAAAGCAGUCUUGCAUAUUCCCGGAACAUCCAUGCAACCACACAGAUGCUUCACUUGAAGAACAAAGACUUUUAUUGAUUGAUGAAACAAAAAAGGCGAGAAGCAACAUGGUGGUCAUACGGGAAAAAAUGGGAUUAACUUUUUCCCUGAGGAGAAAAGAAGUGGUAGAAGAUCAACCAAUGGUUGUAGACUUGCAGCAGAGGUGGCCUGCACUUUUUCUCCAGGAACAGGUAAUAUGUCAGGUUUUUCUUUGUUAAAAAGGCUAAUUUGAAUGAUUUUGUUUUAUUAUCCUAAAUUUGUUAGAAACGUAUAAAAUGUUUUUAUUACUUAAAGGGUUAGUUCACCCCAAAAUGAUAAUUUUAUCAAAACUCACUUACACUUCUGAUUGUCUCCAGAUCACAUUU